GAUGAACGCUAGCUACAGGCUUAACACAUGCAAGUCGCGGGGCAGCAUGGGGGUUGCUUGCAAUCCCCGAUGGCGACCGGCGCACGGGUGAGUAACGCGUAUCCAACCUGCCCUUCACCACGGGAUAACCCGGCGAAAGUCGGACUAAUACCGUAUGUUGUCCAUUGACGGCAUCCGAUUUGGACGAAAGGCUUGGCGGUGAGGGAUGGGGAUGCGUCCGAUUAGCCAGACGGCGGGGUAACGGCCCACCGUGGCUACGAUCGGUAGGGGUUCUGAGAGGAAGGUCCCCCACACUGGAACUGAGACACGGUCCAGACUCCUACGGGAGGCAGCAGUGAGGAAUAUUGGUCAAUGGGCGUAAGCCUGAACCAGCCAAGUAGCGUGCAGGAUGACGGCCCUAUGGGUUGUAAACUGCUUUUAUGCGGGGAUAAAGUGGCCCACGUGUGGGCUUUUGCAGGUACCGCAUGAAUAAGGACCGGCUAAUUCCGU
RNAcentral lists this ribosomal RNA (489 nucleotides) under uncultured bacterium. Its description in RNAcentral is "partial 16S ribosomal RNA". It matches the Rfam family "Bacterial small subunit ribosomal RNA", at positions 28 to 506 of the family's 1533-position model. The record is from RNAcentral.